UAGGGAAUCUUCGGCAAUGGGGGCAACCCUGACCGAGCAACGCCGCGUGAGUGAAGAAGGUUUUCGGAUCGUAAAGCUCUGUUGUAAGAGAAGAACGUAUGUGAGAGUGGAAAGUUCACACAGUGACGGUAACUUACCAGAAAGGGACGGCUAACUACGUGCCAGCAGCCGCGGUAAUACGUAGGUCCCGAGCGUUGUCCGGAUUUAUUGGGCGUAAAGCGAGCGCAGGCGGUUUAAUAAGUCUGAAGUUAAAGGCAGUGGCUUAACCAUUGUUCGCUUUGGAAACUGUUAAACUUGAGUGCAGAAGGGGAGAGUGGAAUUCCAUGUGUAGCGGUGAAAUGCGUAGAUAUAUGGAGGAACACCGGUGGCGAAAGCGGCUCUCUGGUCUGUAACUGACGCUGAGGCUCGAAAGCGUGGGGAGCAAACAGG
This 429-nucleotide ribosomal RNA is filed under the name bacterium. RNAcentral's name for it is "partial 16S ribosomal RNA". It matches the Rfam family "Bacterial small subunit ribosomal RNA", at positions 355 to 776 of the family's 1533-position model. The record is from RNAcentral.